RNAcentral lists this long non-coding RNA (341 nucleotides) under Carica papaya (papaya). RNAcentral describes it as "long non-coding RNA (CPAP_LNC002054)". Lineage: Eukaryota; Viridiplantae; Streptophyta; Magnoliopsida; Brassicales; Caricaceae. The record is from RNAcentral.
UUAAUCUUUAGGAACAAAUAUAAAAUCUAGAUGUUCGAUGUUAAUAUUUUCUACAGUCUAAAUCUCAGGUCACUAAGGUUUAAAGGAGUAGGCUUUGGAGAAGAGCUGUACCAAUAAAAUCUUGCGGGUCCCAAGACCAUGUUGCACUCGUUUCACUCGGUAAGGCUUCCCUUAUGCCAUCCAUACCAAUAUCCUUCUCCAUUGUAGAUGUGUUUUUCUUAGAUGGUUUUUUUAUGAUAAACUACUAACGAUAUGGAUACGUUAAAAAUUAUUACUACAGCUGAAUGGCUUAAAUUUCCUUCACACAUCUCACUACGAGCUUCACUAGAAGAACGAACUUG